AGUGAACGCUGGCGGUAGGCCUAACACAUGCAAGUCGAACGGCAGCACAGUAAGAGCUUGCUCUUACGGGUGGCGAGUGGCGGACGGGUGAGGAAUACAUCGGAAUCUACUUUUUCGUGGGGGAUAACGUAGGGAAACUUACGCUAAUACCGCAUACGACCUACGGGUGAAAGCAGGGGAUCUUCGGACCUUGCGCGAUUGAAUGAGCCGAUGUCGGAUUAGCUAGUUGGCGGGGUAAAGGCCCACCAAGGCGACGAUCCGUAGCUGGUGUGAGAGGAUGGUCGGCCACACUGGAACUGAGACACGGUCCAGACUCCUACGGGGGGCAGCAGUGGGGAAUAUUGGACAAUGGGCGCAAGCCUGAUCCAGCCAUACCGCGUGGGUGAAGAAGGCCUUCGGGUUGUAAAGCCCUUUUGUUGGGAAAGAAAAGCAGCAGGUUAAUACCCCGCUGUUCUGACGGUACCCAAAGAAUAAGCACCGGCUAACUUCGUG
Molecule: ribosomal RNA, 492 nt
Filed under: uncultured bacterium
Lineage: Bacteria
Description: partial 16S ribosomal RNA
Rfam family: Bacterial small subunit ribosomal RNA
Source: RNAcentral